UACGUAGGGACCGAGCGUUGUCCGGAAUCAUUGGGCGUAAAGAGCGUGUAGGCGGCCACUUAAGUCCUGCGUGAAAUCUUGCGGCUCAACCGCAAGCGGUCGUGGGAAACUGGGUGGCUAGAGUGCGGGAGAGGAGAGUGGAAUUCCUGGUGUAGCGGUGGAAUGCGCAGAUAUCAGGAAGAACACCCGUGGCGAAGGCGGCUCUCUGGACAGAAACUGACGCUGAGGCGCGAAAGCUAGGGGAGCAAACAGG
RNAcentral lists this ribosomal RNA (253 nucleotides) under uncultured bacterium. RNAcentral describes it as "partial 16S ribosomal RNA". It matches the Rfam family "Bacterial small subunit ribosomal RNA", at positions 524 to 776 of the family's 1533-position model. The record is from RNAcentral.